This 254-nucleotide ribosomal RNA is filed under the name uncultured bacterium. RNAcentral's name for it is "partial 16S ribosomal RNA". It matches the Rfam family "Bacterial small subunit ribosomal RNA", at positions 524 to 776 of the family's 1533-position model. The record is from RNAcentral.
UACGGGGGGAGCAAGCGUUGUUCGGAUUUACUGGGCGUAAAGGGCGCGUAGGCGGCCACCGCAAGUCGGUUGUGAAAUCUCUGGGCUUAACCCAGAAAGGUCAACCGAUACUGCGGGGCUAGAGUGCAGAAGGGGCAACUGGAAUUCUCGGUGUAGCGGUGAAAUGCGUAGAUAUCGAGAGGAACACCGGCGGCGAAGGCGGGUUGCUGGGCUGACACUGACGCUGAAGCGCGAAAGCGAGGGGAGCGAACGGG